Molecule: ribosomal RNA, 254 nt
Filed under: uncultured bacterium
Lineage: Bacteria
Description: partial 16S ribosomal RNA
Rfam family: Bacterial small subunit ribosomal RNA
Source: RNAcentral
UACGUAGGGGGCAAGCGUUGUCCGGAAUCAUUGGGCGUAAAGCGCGUGUAGGCGGUUCGAUAAGUCUGCUGUGAAAGUCCAGGCUCAACCCUGGAAAGCCGGUGGAUACUGUCGGACUAGAGUACGGAAGAGGCGAGUGGAAUUCCCGGUGUAGCGGUGAAAUGCGCAGAUAUCGGGAGGAACACCAAUUGCGAAGGCAGCUCGCUGGGACGUCACUGACGCUGAGACGCGAAAAGCGUGGGGAGCAAACAGGG